UACGGGGGGGGCAAGCGUUGUUCGGAAUUACUGGGCGUAAAGGGCUCGUAGGUGGCCAACUAAGUCAGACGUGAAAUCCCUCGGCUUAACCGGGGAACUGCGUCUGAUACUGGAUGGCUGGAGUAUGGGAGAGGGAUGCGGAAUUCCAGGUGUAGCGGUGAAAUGCGUAGAUAUCUGGAGGAACACCGGUGGCGAAGGCGGCAUCCUGGACCGACAUUGACGCUGAGGCGCGAAAGCCAGGGGAGCAAACGGG
This 253-nucleotide ribosomal RNA is filed under the name uncultured bacterium. Its description in RNAcentral is "partial 16S ribosomal RNA". It matches the Rfam family "Bacterial small subunit ribosomal RNA", at positions 524 to 776 of the family's 1533-position model. The record is from RNAcentral.